GUGACCUCAAAUCAGGUAGGACUACCCGCUGAACUUAAGCAUAUCAAUAAGCGGAGGAAAAGAAACUAACAAGGAUUCCCCUAGUAACUGCGAGUGAAGCGGGAAAAGCUCAAAUUAAAUCUGGCGGUCUUUGGCUGUCCGAGUUGUAUCUAGAGAAGUGUAUCC
This 165-nucleotide ribosomal RNA is filed under the name uncultured Cortinarius. RNAcentral's name for it is "partial 28S ribosomal RNA". It matches the Rfam family "Eukaryotic large subunit ribosomal RNA", at positions 1 to 165 of the family's 3401-position model. The record is from RNAcentral. Lineage: Eukaryota; Fungi; Basidiomycota; Agaricomycetes; Agaricales; Cortinariaceae.